RNAcentral lists this ribosomal RNA (552 nucleotides) under Cladosporium herbarum. Its description in RNAcentral is "eukaryotic LSU rRNA". It matches the Rfam family "Eukaryotic large subunit ribosomal RNA", at positions 70 to 639 of the family's 3401-position model. Lineage: Eukaryota; Fungi; Ascomycota; Dothideomycetes; Cladosporiales; Cladosporiaceae. The record is from RNAcentral.
CGGGAUUGCCCCAGUAACGGCGAGUGAAGCGGCAAGAGCUCAAAUUUGAAAUCUGGCCCCUCCGGGGUCCGAGUUGUAAUUUGCAGAGGAUGCUUCGGGUGCGGCCCCGUCUAAGUGCCCUGGAACGGGCCGUCAGAGAGGGUGAGAAUCCCGUCUUGGGCAGGGUGCCCGUGCCCGUGUGAAGCUCCUUCGACGAGUCGAGUUGUUUGGGAAUGCAGCUCUAAAUGGGUGGUAAAUUUCAUCUAAAGCUAAAUACCGGCCGGAGACCGAUAGCGCACAAGUAGAGUGAUCGAAAGAUGAAAAGCACUUUGAAAAGAGAGUUAAACAGCACGUGAAAUUGUUGAAAGGGAAGCGCUUGCGACCAGACUCGGCCUCGGGGUUCAGCCAGCAUUCGUGCUGGUGUACUUCCCCGGGGCCGGGCCAGCGUCGGUUCGGGCGGCCGGUCAAAGGCCCCAGGAAUGUAUCGUCCUCCGGGACGUCUUAUAGCCUGGGGUGCAAUGCGGCCAGCCUGGACCGAGGAACGCGCUUCGGCACGGACGCUGGCGUAAGGUC